AUGGUCCAGUGCAAGACUUCGGUACACGCAGCACCAUUGAUGUUUGCAGGCCGCUUCUAUUGCACCACAGAAAAUGGCGUCAUGCUGCUAGAGACCAGUGAAGAUCAGCCGCCACACAUGGAGGUGGCUGCCAGAUUGCGAAAGCCAAUCUCGGCGAUGAGGAUGGAUAGUGCGCACCUGGUGAACAACAACGGGGAGCUGAUGCUGGUGCACCGCAAGAUCCGGUACCUCAGAAAUAGAACAAGGAGGAGGAUGUACGACGUUUAUAAGGUGGAUUUGGACACCGGAACUCUAUUUCCGGUCAAGAGCUUGGGCGGCCGAGCAUUGUUCAUGGGCAUGUAUUGCUCUCUUUCGGUUUCGGCGGACAGUUUCCCCUCCAUAUGUGGCGACACCAUAUACUUGAGCUUCGAUCUCAAAGAGAGAGCUCAUGAUGGGGAAAUAGAGGCCUACCAUCUCCCAAAUGGAAGAACGAAAUCUGCUUAUUACAACUUGGACAGCUCCGUGCCAUGA
RNAcentral lists this ribosomal RNA (510 nucleotides) under Triticum aestivum (bread wheat). RNAcentral describes it as "partial small subunit ribosomal RNA". Lineage: Eukaryota; Viridiplantae; Streptophyta; Magnoliopsida; Poales; Poaceae. The record is from RNAcentral.